Molecule: small RNA, 107 nt
Filed under: Marmota monax (woodchuck)
Lineage: Eukaryota; Metazoa; Chordata; Mammalia; Rodentia; Sciuridae
Source: RNAcentral
GCUGGGUGUGGUUGUACACAUCUGUAAUCCCAGUGACCUGGGAGGCUGAGGCAGGAGGAUUGUGAAUUCAAAGCCAGCCUUAGCAACUAAAUGAGACCCUGUCUCAA